This 301-nucleotide ribosomal RNA is filed under the name uncultured bacterium. RNAcentral's name for it is "partial 16S ribosomal RNA". It matches the Rfam family "Bacterial small subunit ribosomal RNA", at positions 509 to 809 of the family's 1533-position model. The record is from RNAcentral.
CAGCCGCCGCGGUAAUACAGAGGGUGCAAGCGUUAAUCGGAAUUACUGGGCGUAAAGCGCGCGUAGGUGGUUUGUUAAGUUGAAUGUGAAAUCCCCGGGCUCAACCUGGGAACUGCAUCCAAAACUGGCAAGCUAGAGUAGGGCAGAGGGUGGUGGAAUUUCCUGUGUAGCGGUGAAAUGCGUAGAUAUAGGAAGGAACACCAGUGGCGAAGGCGACCACCUGGGCUCAUACUGACACUGAGGUGCGAAAGCGUGGGGAGCAAACAGGAUUAGAUACCCCUGUAGUCCCUGUCUCUUAUAU